CCCUUAGAUGUUCUGGGCCGCACGCGCGCUACACUGACGAAGUCAGCGAGCAUGUCCUACGCCGAUAGGUGCGGGGAAUCUUGUGAAACUUUGUCGUGCUGGGGAUUGAUUUUUGAAAUUCUUGAUCAUCAACGAGGAAUUCCUAGUAAGCGCAAGUCAGCAGCUUGCGUUGAUUACGUCCCUGCCCUUUGUACACACCGCCCGUCGCUACUACCGAUUGAAUGGUUUAGUGAGAUUUUUGGACUGGAACUCUCUUGUUCAGCAAUGAACGAGAGGGACUCUGGGAAGCUAUUCUAACUGUAUCAUUUAGAGGAAGUAAAAGUCGUAACA
This 330-nucleotide ribosomal RNA is filed under the name uncultured eukaryote. RNAcentral's name for it is "partial 18S ribosomal RNA". It matches the Rfam family "Eukaryotic small subunit ribosomal RNA", at positions 1470 to 1796 of the family's 1831-position model. The record is from RNAcentral.